UUGUCUCUCUUACUUCUCUCUCCUCAUUUUCUCUCUCUAGCUUUUUUGGAGAGAGACUUCGGCGGAUCAUAACUUUUGAUCCGUAACUCCGAUUUAGGAUCCGCAAAAAGCUACGGAUUCGUCUUGAUGUCCUCUUUAUAUCCAUAGAGGUUUGAGCUAGAUCCAACGGUGAUUUCUUGAAUGCUCGUUUUAGGAGGCUCGGUUAAUGAUCGGUAUUCUAAGAGGCGAUUCAGAUUUUCGAGAGAAGUACUUAGGUUUUGACGAGCCUUGAAUGAAGAGCCUAGAAGGAAGAUUUUAUUUACAUUCUGCUUUGUAACACUCACACCUCAGAUUCAGGGUCAGGUGCUUAAAUUCC
This 355-nucleotide long non-coding RNA is filed under the name Rosa chinensis. Its description in RNAcentral is "sRNA RchiOBHm_Chr4g0388791". Lineage: Eukaryota; Viridiplantae; Streptophyta; Magnoliopsida; Rosales; Rosaceae. The record is from RNAcentral.